UAAUACGUAGGGGGCAAGCGUUGUCCGGAUUUAUUGGGCGUAAAGAGCGCGUAGGCGGCCAAAUAGGUCGGUUGUGAAAACUGGAGGCUUAACCUCCAGACGUCGACCGAAACCAUCUGGCUAGAGUCCGGAAGAGGAGAGUGGAAUUCCUGGUGUAGCGGUGAAAUGCGCAGAUAUCAGGAAGAACACCCGUGGCGAAGGCG
RNAcentral lists this ribosomal RNA (203 nucleotides) under uncultured bacterium. RNAcentral's name for it is "partial 16S ribosomal RNA". It matches the Rfam family "Bacterial small subunit ribosomal RNA", at positions 521 to 723 of the family's 1533-position model. The record is from RNAcentral.